UCUUGCACAAAAAAUCUGAAUGCUUCCACGCCUCAAUCACGAGAAAGCGUUCACUCUCUCGAGUUUACUGAUGUUAUUACACUAGAAUACAAGUAUUUCAAAACUUGCUGGAAAGUAUUCGAUAUGGGUGAUUCCUCAAUUGUAUGCUUACACGCUCAAUUUCCCUGUUGAAAAAUUCCUCCAAGCUCAAGGAAAAAUAUGAGUUAUGACAGAUGCUUGAUGCUUUAAUCCUACUUUGGAUGCUUUAUUCUAUUAUUGAAUUUUUGCUAUGCUAUUUUACAUGUUUUAAACCACAAAAAAUUUGAAGUUAUAGUGCACCACUGGUGCUGUCCAUGUAAUGUUGGUAAAGAGCUAAAUGGGAUACCCUUGUUUUGCCAUCAUGGUCCUUUACAUGAAAAAUUGCUCUCAAGUGCCUUAAGAAAUUUAGCAAAGUAGACAGUUACAAUAAUCCAUGUCACUAUUCUUGUAAGUCUCUUCUGGAACUACAUUUUUUGUUGCAGGCUUUAAGGCUCUUCAGAUGACAAUUAAGUGUACCAAAAAGGAGUUUGCUAAGAUUUUUGUUCUCUUUUAUCACUGUAACUGCGGCAGCCUCCAAUGUUUCUUUUUUAAAUGCAGUGGAAGAAGAAGCGUAUGAGGAAGCUGAAGAGAAAGCUCAGAAAGAUGAGAUAGAGAUCUAAGUAGAGCAGGGUGCCUAUGAUGCUUUCUUGGGAUCUAGAAGAUUUCUAUUUCGUCUAACACUGGGCCGUCUCCAGACUGAAGAGGCUAAGUUUAGUAAAGCUGAGAAGAAUGUGAAAGAGUUGAGCAGUUGGAAGAGUGGAUCUCGCUGAAAACGAUAUGAAACGUGGCAUGUCCGAGCUUCAACGCUUAUUUUCUUCAUUCAUAUACUCAAAGCGUGGAGUAGAUCAAGAAAUGGAUGAUGAAGACGAUGAGAACU
Long non-coding RNA from Nicotiana attenuata, 934 nucleotides. RefSeq lists it as uncharacterized. The record is from RefSeq and is a predicted model, not a curated record. The transcript is spliced from 4 exons. Lineage: Eukaryota; Viridiplantae; Streptophyta; Magnoliopsida; Solanales; Solanaceae.